GCAGUCCUACUACUUUGUACUUUGCACAUAGUUCUAGUCUUAGGCCCUGCAUCAAAUUCAACCCAUCCAGUUGAAUCAACUCUACCCAAAAUGGGAAUUGAAGGAUUUAUAUUCUCCCUCACCUCACUUACUCUUCUUUGAAUAGCAGCUUCAAGGCACUUGAUGACUCUAUCCUUUUCCCCUUCAGUAUAUCCAAACUGCAUCCAUCUAUCCAUAUGACGUAUAUAGUAUUCCUACGACUCCAGAAUCUUAAGUUCAAUCAUUAGAAUCAAGACUCGAGGACAUUUGAGGAAUCUUUUGAACUGAAUCUCGGGUAGAGCCACAUUAAAUAUCUCACUUGCAAUUUAAGAUCCAAUGCACACCAUUCUAUAUGUAUGCAAGAAUUUGUCUGUUUGUGUGUGUAUUGGGGAAGGAUGGUAAUUAUGAUGAUAGAUCAGAAAGGAAAUGCAAUUAUAACUAAAUUAACUAUACCAUUUACUUCCCAUAAAACAUGCAUAAACUGUUUUAUAAUUUACGCAGCUCAUUUGAUUUAAAAGAGCAUAAAGACUUCUCUGCAAAACCUCACUUUUAAGCUUAUAGGUGUAAACCCCAUUACAGAUCAAAAGAAGCUCAAUAUUUUGUCUUUUUACUCUUUUUUUUUUUUUUU
Ipomoea nil (Japanese morning glory) is the source of this 646-nucleotide long non-coding RNA. RefSeq lists it as uncharacterized. NCBI's taxonomy places the organism in Eukaryota, Viridiplantae, Streptophyta, Magnoliopsida, Solanales, Convolvulaceae. The record is from RefSeq and is a predicted model, not a curated record. The transcript is spliced from 2 exons.